GAUGAACGCUGGCGGCGUGCCUAAUACAUGCGAGUCGAGCGAACAGACGAGGAGCUUGCUCCUCUGACGUUAGCGGCGGACGGGUGAGUAACACGUGGAUAACCUACCUAUAAGACUGGGAUAACUUCGGGAAACCGGAGCUAAUACCGGAUAACAUGUUGAACCGCAUGGUUUAACAGUGAAAGACGGUCUUGCUGUCACUUAUAGAUGGAUCCGCGCCGCAUUAGCUAGUUGGUAAGGUAACGGCUUACCAAGGCAACGAUGCGUAGCCGACCUGAGAGGGUGAUCGGCCACACUGGAACUGAGACACGGUCCAGACUCCUACGGGAGGCAGCAGUAGGGAAUCUUUCGCAAUGGGCGAAAGCCUGACGGAGCAACGCCGCGUGAGUGAAGAAGGUCUUCGGAUCGUAAAACUCUGUUAUUAGGGAAGAACAAAUGUGUAAGUAACUAUGCACGUCUUGACGGUACCUAAUCAGAAAGCCACGGCUAACUACGUG
RNAcentral lists this ribosomal RNA (497 nucleotides) under uncultured bacterium. Its description in RNAcentral is "partial 16S ribosomal RNA". It matches the Rfam family "Bacterial small subunit ribosomal RNA", at positions 28 to 507 of the family's 1533-position model. The record is from RNAcentral.